AGAAAAGGAAAAAAUUAUAGUGUAGAAAUUUACUGAGCCACUAGGUCUUCACUCUUCUACUUUUUUGGGCUACUCCGCACUCUAACAAUUUUAGGGGAGGUAUUUUAGCUUUUUCUGUCUACAAACUCCCCAAGUAAUAAAUGAAAGAUAGGACAUUAUCACUCAAAAACUUGGGUACUUCCCUGUACAUCUUAUUUUAAAGCUAUUAAGAACAGAAAUGCUUUAUACUAUCCUUACAGUUGAUAAAAUCUUCUUUAUUUACUGUUAAUAAAGCUCUUCAAAAUUGUCAUUCUGUGUCUUACAUGGAAUAGAGGACAUUCAGCAUUUUUUGUGAAAUAACUUAGCAUUCAUUUGAAUUCAUCCCUUAGUUUUUUUUCUCUGGGUUAAAAACCCCCAAAUUAUUCUCAUCUUUAUUCAUGUUUUCUAUUAUUAAACAAUUAUUACUAUUUCUUUUUCUUUUUCUUAAAAUGUGAUGAUAAAUGUUAGAUGUUGGAUUCCAAAAGGGGACUGUCAAUGCCAAAAACAGGAAGAGAUUACUUUCUUGCACGUGCUUAUUAGAACAAGAAUGGGAAGAUUUUAGAACGUAUCCAAAUGGAAAAGAUGGAGAUUUUGGUGAGCCUCACAAUGAUAGAUAAGAAAACUGAUGCUUACAGAGAUUAGGUGACUUGCCCAAUAUGACUUUAAUUGAGUGUCAAAUCUAUAAAGAACUUCUUAAACUCAACACCCAAAGAACAAAUGAUCCAAUCAAGAAAUGGGCGGAAGACACGAACAGACAUUUUUCCAAAGAAGACGUCCAAAUGGCCAACAGACACAUGAAAAAGUGCUCAACAUCACUCGGCAUCAGGGAAAUCCAAAUCAAAACCUCAAUGAGAUAUCACCUCACACCAGUCAGAAUGGCUAAAAUUAACAAGUCAGGAAACAACAGAUGUUGGCAGGGAUGCAGAGAAAGGGGAACCCUCCCACACUGUUGGUGGGAAUGCAAGCUGGUGCAGCCACUCUGGAAAACAGUAUGGAGGUUCCUCAAAAAGUUGAAAAUAGAGCUACCAUAUGAUCCAGCAAUUGCA
Mirounga angustirostris (Northern elephant seal) is the source of this 1064-nucleotide long non-coding RNA. RefSeq lists it as uncharacterized. The transcript has 3 exons. NCBI's taxonomy places the organism in Eukaryota, Metazoa, Chordata, Mammalia, Carnivora, Phocidae. The record is from RefSeq and is a predicted model, not a curated record.